Molecule: long non-coding RNA, 1947 nt
Filed under: Danio rerio (zebrafish)
Lineage: Eukaryota; Metazoa; Chordata; Actinopteri; Cypriniformes; Danionidae
Description: lncRNA (ENSDARG00000117346.1)
Source: RNAcentral
AAAGAAGUGGAUUUUGAAUUGUUUUAGGACAACUAAGUAAAAAGGUGAUGAUCCAAAUAUUUGCUACUCUAAAAAUGACUUCUGUUUUACUUGCACAACUCUAAAGUUACCAUAUAUGUAUAUAAGUCUGAAUAAUUAGACCCUCUGUUUAUUGUUUUCCCAAAAAUCCUAACAGAGGAAAUAUUUUUUUCAACACAUUUCUAAACAUAAUAGUUUUGAAUAACUCAUUUCUAAUAACUGAUUUAUUUUAUCUUCGCGAUGAUGACAGCACAUAAUAUUUGACUAGAUGUUUUUCAAGAUACUAGUAUGCUAGGAAAAUUCCUUGCUCUGUUAAACAUCAUUUGUAAAAUAUUUGAAAAGUAAAACACAAUUCACAGGAGGGCGAAUAAUCUUGACUUCAGCUGUAUAUUACUAGUUCAUCUGCUGUAAACUCAUUGUUUCAGAUGAGCAGACGCUAUGGAGUGAACAUAGGCCUGACGCAUGAGAAGCUGCCACAUCCUUCAAAGCUGAUGGUUAGAAAAAGAAGUCAAAGAGGACACGGACAUGCUGCAAACGUUCUCCAACACAUAGGAGAACUCCGGAUGAGACAGCGCCAUAUAAACCAGUGAGAGGAAGGAGGAUUGUGAGAGAAAGAGGCCUUUAAAGGGAUAGUUCACCAAUGAAUUCUUAACAAAAUUAUAUGGUCACUUUUGAUUUCAUUUGUUCUUAAAGUACCAAUGAAAUUAAAACUAACCAUAUUGAUGUUGCUAGCUCACAUUUUUAGUUUUGUGCUGAACAAUUAAUAAUUAAGAAAAAAUAUAUACUAACAUACUAAGCCACGCCCCUCCAGUUUUGACAACAAACAGAAAUAGUGAGGUUAGGCUGUAAUAACUCUGAAAUGCCUACUUUACAACAUCCAAUCAUCUGGUAGUUGAAAAAGCAAGCCACACCCACUGUUUUCUCAUUUAAUAUUCCGUUUCACAAUACGGAAAAAAAAACAGUUGCAGCUUCCUAUUCAUGCAGACUUUAAGGGUUAGAAAGUCUGUGAGAGUCAAGUCUAUUCUGCCUACUUCCAGGUUGAAGGGAGACAAAUGGUGGGGAGCCACAGCUGUUUUCGGACCUGAGGAGAUCGGUGGUCCACAGGAGAUCAAAGAGCAAAGGCUUGAGCAGCUUCUUGGCCUUUCAGCUGAUGUGAGCCUUAAUGAGAUAUUAGAGGACAAUCCGGAUUCAAGCAGGACAAAGCCUUAUGAAGCUCCUUACUCACCCACUCAUCAGUUCUCAUUUCCAGGAUAUGAGCAGUUUCUUGAGCUGGCUCCAGGAGGAAACCCCAUGAUGGCGUUUGUUGCAGGAACAGCCCAUAGAUCCCUCUUGACAGCUGAUGACGCCGCAGGGUUUUCUGGAGGAUCUGACGGGAUCCUGAGGAGCAAUGAUGACAAUGAUAAGAUCAGUCUUUCAAAUCUAGAGUUCUUUUGAAUUAGCUUGACUCUGUUUCGGCCAUGCUCACAUAUCAUUUGCUGUUGUUAAAUGUGUUUUUAUAAACGCAUUUGCAUUUGAUUUUUAUAGUUGCAGAUGUUUUAUGAUGAGUGUUGAGGUUUUUAAUGCUCAGUUCAUAAUGCAGGGGUAUUGGUGGAACGGUUCAUGAUGCAUUUGGCUUAUAGGUCAAGUUUUAAAAGAUAAAAGACUUGACUUUGUUCUCUUGGCUGGAUUGAAAGAAAGUUCUGCUUGGUCAUUUACAACUGAAAUAUUUAGUAAUGGAGACACAUGUUUGCUGUUUUGGCAUUUAUGAAUAUUUAAUUUAUGAUCCAUGUGAUUUUGAAUCUUCAUCCAACAAUUAAACAGGCAAUAAAAAAAAAACAACAUUUUCAAAUAUAUCCUGCAGGUAUGACAUUUAUAUAUUUGAAAACCAAAUAUGAACUUGUAUGUAUUUGCAUAAACUCCUCUAUAGUAUUUGGUCUAUGUGGGUCUCUG